UGGGGAAUAUUGGACAAUGGAGGAAACUCUGAUCCAGCAAUUCUGUGUGAGUGAAGAAGGUUUUAGGACUGUAAAACACUUUUAGUAGGGAAGAAAAAAAUGACGGUACCUACAGAAGAAGCACCGGCUAAAUACGUGCCAGCAGCCGCGGUAAUACGUAUGUUGCGUGCGUUAUCCGGAAUUAUUGGGCUUAAAGGGCAUCUAGGCGGUAAGACAAGUUGAAGGUGAAAACCUGUGGCUCAACCAUAGGCUUGCCUACAAAACUGUUGAACUAGAGUACGGGAAAGGUGGGUGGAACGACACGAGUAGAGGUGAAAUUCGUAGAUAGGUGUAGGAAUGCCGAUGAAGAAGAUAACUCACUUGACAGAAACUGUCGCUGAAGUGCGAAAGCUAGGGGAGCAAACAGG
This 407-nucleotide ribosomal RNA is filed under the name Verrucomicrobiota bacterium. RNAcentral's name for it is "Verrucomicrobia bacterium partial 16S ribosomal RNA". It matches the Rfam family "Bacterial small subunit ribosomal RNA", at positions 355 to 776 of the family's 1533-position model. Lineage: Bacteria; Pseudomonadati; Verrucomicrobiota. The record is from RNAcentral.